This 397-nucleotide ribosomal RNA is filed under the name uncultured bacterium. RNAcentral describes it as "partial 16S ribosomal RNA". It matches the Rfam family "Bacterial small subunit ribosomal RNA", at positions 523 to 918 of the family's 1533-position model. The record is from RNAcentral.
AUACGUAGGGGGCGAGCGUUGUCCGGAAUGAUUGGGCGUAAAGGGCGCGUAGGCGGCCCGGUAAGUCUGGAGUGAAAGUCCUGUUUUUAAGAUGGGAAUUGCUUUGGAUACUGUCGGGCUUGAGUGCAGGAGAGGUAAGUGGAAUUCCCAGUGUAGCGGUGAAAUGCGUAGAGAUUGGGAGGAACACCAGUGGCGAAGGCGACUUACUGGACUGUAACUGACGCUGAGGCGCGAAAGUGUGGGGAGCAAACAGGAUUAGAUACCCUGGUAGUCCACACUGUAAACGAUGAAUGCUAGGUGUAGGGGGUAUCGACCCCUUCUGUGCCGCAGUCAACACAAUAAGCAUUCCGCCUGGGGAGUACGGCCGCAAGGUUGGAACUCAAAUGAAUUGACGGGG